Molecule: ribosomal RNA, 567 nt
Filed under: Triticum aestivum (bread wheat)
Lineage: Eukaryota; Viridiplantae; Streptophyta; Magnoliopsida; Poales; Poaceae
Description: partial small subunit ribosomal RNA
Source: RNAcentral
AUGGAAGAUCCUGAUGCUCUUCCGCAGAAGGCGGAUCUGAGAAGAGAUGGAGUAAAUCAAGUCUCGCAGCUUUCCUCUCGGGUUGUGAGGUCAGAUCCCGGGAUUGAACUCAACAUGCAAGCGUUGUCGAUCAAUGAGCCGGAGGUAGUUCAUAUUCAGGCUGAGCAGUACAGGCAAGAAGAGGGUCAGGAUGCAGAGUUCAAUAUUCUGAUGAAGCUUGCAUCUACAAGAGGUCCUAUCAGGGUUCUUUCCCUUCAGGCUGUGCGGCAAUCUAUGGCUAGAGCAUGGAAGGAUAACUAUUAUGGUAUAUCACAAUUAUCAAGGUACAUCUUUGUGGCUCAUUUUCAUUCUUUGGAUGCUGUUAUGUUUGUCAUUACUCGUCAGCCUUGGAGCAUGGGUUCAGACAAUUUCUUGCUUGAAUGGAUGGAUCCAGAGGAGCAAAAUAGGAAUAUUCAGGACUAUAAGUUUGACACUAUCUACGUGACUAUUCGGAUUUAUGGUAUUCCCAUGAGAUUUAGAACUCAAGCUCUACUUGCAAACAUCUUGCAAAGUGUUGGCCAGAUCUAA